AAUCGGAUGCCGCUGAGCCGCAACCAACCGCGGCGAGCCGGGGGCUGGGCUGCAGCUGGAUGCAGCUGGGCGCGGGAGCGUGGGGCCGAGGCGUGUGCCCGCCUGUCCCACUCCGCCCCGGCCGGGCUACCGGGUCCAGCGCCCCCCGCCGGGAGCUCGCAGCGUGUUGCCGCCCACCUCGGCCUCGGUUCACGGGCCCAUGCAAUGGGCCGAAGCUGGGCCCAGAAAUGGGCAUUUCUUGAGCCCUCAGCGUUAAGCGCCCACUGUGUACAAGGAACGCGAGGGAAGGGCGCCGGCCCAGGGCGGGGGCCGAGGCCAGGGAGUGUUUGGCCCGCGCUUUGUACGUCGCUCUCUAGGGAGGGCCGGUGGACCGUGGGCUGGUUUAUCAAGCCCUACUGUGUGCAGAGGUUUCGGUGUGUGUUCAUCGACUGUGUGCCAUCUCUGUGCUGUGCGCCCAAAGAAACCUCGAGCCUGCCCCGCAUUUCCACCCAGUUCACGUUCUCCCGACGAAGAGGACGGUACACUAGUGAAAAUGACAGCUGGGGUCACUAUGAGAUGUGCUGAGCGCUUAAUAUCUGUCCAAGAGCGCUUGUGGUGGGCAAUGAGCUUGCAGUCCCUGUCUCUCACAUCAGAGAGCAAGCUCCUGAGAGCAGAGAACAGCUUUGCCGACAGCUGAGCCCUGUGCCAGGAUCGGGACUGGGACAUGGUGGAGCUCACCUCCAAACGGGAUAGGGUGGCUGGUUACUGCUGGUAUCCGGAGACCCUCUCAGUGGCCAGCACCAGAUGGCUGAUGGACAGACUGCCUGAGAUAACUCAUUCCUUCAUUUAUUCACUGAACACGUGUAUUAAACACCAAUCUGACCCAGGAAAACAGCAGGGAACAUGAACAUGACAGAAUCCUUGCUGUUUUGGGAGGUGGGGGUGGAGGUUAGGGAAGUCCUGUUCAAGAAAAUGACAUUGGAUCCAAGACCUAAAAAACAUGGGAGAGCCGCUAACUUGAAAUCAGCUGGGCAGUCCUUUCCUUGUGGGGAUUUGAGUAGAGGAAUGACAUGAUCUGACUUAGUUUUUUUUUUUUGAGAUGGAGUCUUGCUCUGUCACCAUGCUGGAGUGCAGUGGCAUGAUCUUGACUCACUGCAACCUCUGCCUCCUGGGUUCAAGCCAUCCUCCUGCCUCAGCCUCCCAAGUAGCUGGGACUACAGGAACACCACCAUGCCCAGCUAAUUUUUGUAUUUUUAGUAGAGACGGGGUUUUGACAUGUUGUCCAGGAUGGUCUUGAUCACUUGACCUUGUGAUCCGCCCACCUCGGCCUCCCAGGGUGCUGGGAUUAUAGUCAUGAGCCACUGUGCGCAGCCUAUGUCCUUUGUUUUAUGAGAUAAAAAUUUCAUACCUUUUAAAGUAAACCCUAUUAAAGCAAAUUCUCUGGUUUUUAGUAUAUCCACAAAGUUGUGUGAUCAUCAUGACUAUCUAGCUCCAGAACAUUUUCAGUACCCCCAAAAGAAAUCCCAUGUUCAUGAUCAAUUACUCCCUACUUCCCUCUUUCCUCAGCCCCUGUUUGUUUGUUCCCCAAACAAACAAAUCCCUUGCCCUUUUUCAAAUUCAGUUAUUGGUAUUUUUCUUGAAUUGUAAGAGUUCAUAUAUUAUGGAUAUUAAUCCUUUAUCAGAUAUAGAAUUUAUAACAUAUUUUCUCUCAUUCUAUUGGAUGUCUUAUAACUCUUUUUUUUUUUUUUUUUGAGAUGAAGUUUUGCUCUGGUUGCCUAGGCUGCAGUGUCACUGAGGCAGGAGGAUCACUUGAGCCUAAGUGAGUCACUACAGUGAGUCAUGAUUAUGCCACUGUAUUUCAGCCAGAAAGACAAAUAGAGAGAGCUACUCCCAAGUAGCUCAGAUUACAGGGACACAGCACCAUGCCUGGUUAAUUUAUUUUUUGUAGAGAUGGGGUCUCACUAUGUUGCCCAGGCUGGUCUUGAACUCCUGGGCUCAAGUGAACCUCCCCAGCUUCCCAAAGUGCUGGGAUUACAGGUGUGAGACACUGCGCCUGGCCUCCGAGUGGUACAUUUGUUAACUGACAAACCUACACUGACACUCCAUUAUCACUGAAAGUUCAUAAUUUGCAUUAGGGUUCAGUCUUGGUGUAUAUUCUGCAGGCUUGGGGAACCGUGCAAUGACAUGGAUCCACCGUUGUAGCUAUCAGACAGAGUAGUUUCACUGCCCUAAAAAUCCUCUGUUGCAGCCGGGUGCGGUGGCUCAGGUCUAUAAUCCCAGCACUUGGGGAGGCUGAGGCAGGCAGAUCACAAGGUCAAGAGAUUGAGACCAUCCUGGCCAACGUGGUGAAACCCCAUCUCUACCAAAAAUACAAAAAUUAGCCGGGUGUUGUGGUGGGCACCUGUAGUCCCAGCUACUCGGGAGGCCGAGGCAGGAGGAUCACUUGAACCUGGGAGGCAGAGGUUGCAGUGAGCCAAGAUCGCACCACUGCACUCCAGCCUGGUGACAGAGGGAGACUCUGUUUCAAAAAAAAAAUAAAAAAUCCUCUGUUGCAGAUGCAUUUUAAUCAGACUGAAUAUGUGGGCUGCUAAGUAGUGGGCUAGGAGCCCACGGAAAUUUAAAAAAACCCAGGCCAUAGCCUGGUAGUAGGACCAGGGGGCCUCAGAGAGUAUACCAGGCUGUGAGAAGAGCCUCAGAGGCAGCAGGGAUGGCCAUGUGGGGAGGAUGUUGGGGGCUCCUGAGAGGCUGUGUGUGCCCAGGAGAGCCACCUGCAACCUGAGCUGGUCACUGAGCACAACUCCUCACCCCCAGCAGGGCCUCCUACCCAGCAGGAAGUGCCCCGGGCAGUGCUCUGGCCCUGUUUCGGAAGGUGUGUACAGGAAGGCUUCCUUCCCUGGGGUGGAGUGUGUCCCGGAGGGGCUGACCAGAACCAGAUGUUGCAUGUCUGGGCUAUGGCACAGCUGUCCCCAAACCAAACUUCCUCUUUUCCCCACAAUGUUCAUUUUGAAACAUUUGGUUGUACCUGUAAGUUACAGGCAUGUGGAUAUCUGUUUCUGGCUGCCCACAUCCAUUCCCCCUCCUUCAUAGAAAUACUACCCUGAAUUUUUGGAGGACUCUCUCUUGCUGCCCAUUCUCAGCCCCUGAAUUUAGCACAAGCCUAGCAACAUUGUCCAGUCCCCCGGAAUGCAAAGAUUGGUUCAGAGAUGAGGAUGUGACUUCAGAUGAUCCAAUCAUAGUGGACUUCAGGAUCCUGGUAUGAAAUUGGGAUGUGAAUAAGGAAGCAAGUCUCAUCAGAAUCUGCUGGCAGCCAUGAGGACAUGAUCCUCAGGGAAGAGGAAAUUUGGACACAAAUAGAGAAGGUGCGGCCAUCUACAAGCUGUGGAGAGCGGCUGCGGGAGAAACCAGCCCCACUGAUACAACAAUCUCUGUUGUUUAAGCCACGGAGUCUGCAGUACUCUGUUACUGUGAGCCCCGAAAGCUGACAUGGGGGUGACAUGAGAGUACAGUGGGCACACAGAAGGCCCUCAGUGGAGGCUGGUUUCUUCAGCCCAGUGUCACAUGGAGCUCAUCCACUGGCUGAGCUGGGGGUCUGAUCGUGGCCACUCAACGUCUCUGCAGAGCUCAGGGUCUGCCCUGAGAUCCUGCACUUACCACAGAGUGGCCCUGCCUUGGGCCCCCAUCUCACUUCACUUCUGCCCUCCUUCCUGGUUCAUGACUCGGCCAUCCACAAACCUCCCGUGGUAGCACUGUGGCCACUCUGUAAAUGACAGCACCGCUGGUGUCUCACUGGGGUCCAGUCUGGAAGAGAGAAACCACUCCAGGCAUUUCAACAGAAGGGACGGGAUACAGAGCAUCACUUCCACAGAGGAUGGAUGAGCCCAGAUGCAGAAAAGCCAAGGAAGAAAAUUCUGACGCAGACCACAACGCGGAUGGACCUUGAAAACACUGUGCUAAGUGAAAGAAGCCCCACACAGAAGGAAAUGUUGUAAGAGGUUGGACUGCAGUGGUACAAUCCAAGCUUGCUACAGCUUCGACUUCCGGAUUCUAGCAAUUCCUUAUCCACCUCGGCCUCCCAAGUAGUUGGGACUACAGGUGAGGCGCAUUCAUUUCCCCUUGUGAAGGGGCUGGGCUUAUGACUUGAUUCUAAAGAACAGAACGUGGUAGAAGUGAUGGUGCGUCUGAAGACGUCACAAAGGCACUUUGCUUUCUCCUUGCUCUCUCUCUGGGGGAAGACAGCUUCCAUGUCGCGAGGACCCUCAGCAGCCCUGUGAAGACGUUCACGUAGUGAGUAGCUGAGGCCUCCCGCCAGUAGCCGCAGGAGUGCGCCAUCUUGCGGUAGAUCCUUCAGCUUAGACCUGCCAAUCCAGUAGCCACUAAGCACACGUGGCUUUUGAGCAUUUGCAGCGCGGCUGGUCCCAGCUGGAAUGUACACACCGGGUUUUAAAGACAGCAUAACAAAAAGAAUGUCAAGUAUCUAAUAUUUUUGAAUAUUGAUAGCAAGUUGAAGUGGGUUAAAUAAAAAUGUACUAUUAAAUGAA
This is a long non-coding RNA of Callithrix jacchus (white-tufted-ear marmoset), 4517 nucleotides long. RefSeq lists it as uncharacterized. The record is from RefSeq and is a predicted model, not a curated record. Lineage: Eukaryota; Metazoa; Chordata; Mammalia; Primates; Cebidae.